This is a long non-coding RNA of Manis pentadactyla (Chinese pangolin), 521 nucleotides long. RefSeq lists it as uncharacterized. The transcript is spliced from 2 exons. The record is from RefSeq and is a predicted model, not a curated record. Lineage: Eukaryota; Metazoa; Chordata; Mammalia; Pholidota; Manidae.
CCCAGGAUGCCCCUGGGCGAUAGCUGUGGGCGUCCGGGCGGGGAGGAAGCGAGAGCCGGUGGGUUCCCGCCUGGAGUUCCGAGAAGGGGCCUGCGGAGCUCUUCUUCAAUGGGGCGUCAGGCCUGUGGGUGCGAGUCCAACCUGCAGAGUUAACGAUGCUGCUUUUCCUCCUCCAGCCCUAAUCAAGUCGGCAACUCUGCUCACCUUGAAACCGAAACAAGCAGCCUUGACUGAUGUGCUCCCAGACCAAGAAACUGCUAUUCUGCGAAAGGGUCAAAGCAGUAAAUUUCUUAUGUUAACCCCACAAAAUGGUCUGAAAACCCGAUAAGAAACUUAGUGUCUCUUUGAAAAUAAACACUUAGAGACCAUAUGGUAGAUCCACAUCCCUAGCUCUUGGUCUCUCAAUUGCCUAUAAAUUCCCUAGACAAUGCACCACCACAGACUCUCCUGUCCCAUCCUGGGGCAUAAGCCGGCAGCUCUGUUCUUUCACUUUAUCUCUAAAUAAAAGCCUGUUGACUGUU